Molecule: microRNA precursor, 153 nt
Organism: Nicotiana attenuata
Lineage: Eukaryota; Viridiplantae; Streptophyta; Magnoliopsida; Solanales; Solanaceae
Rfam family: MIR394 microRNA precursor family
Source: Rfam
CUUACAGAGUUCAUUGGCAUUCUGUCCACCUCCAUCUUCAAUUCUCACUUUCCUUUAGAAAUGAAGAUGAACAAGAAAAAGAAAAAGGACAAAAAAAAAAAAGAAGGUUUAAUUAACGUGGAGGUGGGCAUACUGCCAACAGAGCUGUGUUGG